This 492-nucleotide ribosomal RNA is filed under the name uncultured bacterium. RNAcentral's name for it is "partial 16S ribosomal RNA". It matches the Rfam family "Bacterial small subunit ribosomal RNA", at positions 29 to 507 of the family's 1533-position model. The record is from RNAcentral.
AGUGAACGCUGGCGGUAGGCCUAACACAUGCAAGUCGAACGGCAGCACAGUAAGAGCUUGCUCUUCCGGUUGGCGAGUGGCGGAUGGGUGAGGAAUACAUCGGCAUCUACUUUUUCGUGGGGGAUAACGUAGGGAAACUUACGCUAAUACCGCAUACUACCUACGGGUGAAAGCAGGGGAUCUUCGGACCUUGCGCGUUUGAAUGAGCCGAUGUCGGUUUUGCUAGUUGGUGGGGUAAAGGCCCACCAAGGCGACGAUCCGUAACUGGUCUGAGAGGAUGGACAGCAACAGGGGAACUGAGACACGGUCAAGAGACUGAGGGGAGGCAGCAGAGGGGAAUAUUGGAAAAUGGGGGCAAGCCUGAUCCAGCCAUACCGGGUGGGUGAAGAAGGGCUUGGGGUUGUAAAGCCCUUUUGUUGGGAAAGAAAAGCAGCAGGUUAAAACCCGGCUGGUGUGACGGUAGCCAAAGAAGAAGCACCGGCUAACUACGUG